GGACCUAAUGCCACCACUUACCAUCAACUAAUCAUGUCAGUGCGGAGCUAUUCAUAGCCCUCCGCAUUGUUACAAAAUUUGGGAGGCGUGGGGCGAUGCGGUACAGAGCUCAAUUUGGCUUCUGCAUGCCUCCAGAGGUUCCGCUAUUGCAUCACACCCUCCAUACAGAGCAUUCGACCACGUUUUCAGAUCAAGCAUAAAUUGGCUUCAAGAAGAAGGGAGCAGCUGCAGACCAGAAGCCUACAGCCAAUGCAGCACUGGUCCACACCUGUUCUGUCUGUCGGACAAAUGAUGACCAUGAUUUGAAUGCUGCAACUGAGAAUGUAUGACGUUGAGGGAUACAUGCUGAGACCCCGAGUAUGACUGGACUUCGGCCAGAUAUUUGUGACAACGACAUAAAAGGGGUCUAAUUCCUAAAAUGUAAAAGCAGAAGAAUCUGUAUGCUCUCGGAUACAAUUAACAGUUCAUAUGGUGCUCUUCGAUGUCCCAGGUUUGUGGCAGGAAUAAAUCAUUUAAUCUUUACUUCAAGUCAGAUGUUUAUAUGUUAUGUUUAAAAGGCGUAUGCAUUGUUACUAUUUUGAUUUAUUUAAAGCAAUGUAAUUCCUUUAAUCUGUAAUCUUUUUAUCUCUUUCUUUCUUUUUCUCUGAGGACCUGAGCCCUAGGACCAUGCCUCAGGACUACCUGGCCUGAUGACUCCUUGCUGUCCCCAGUCCACCUGGUCAUGCUGCUGCUCCAGUUUCAACUGUUCUGCCUGCGGCUAUGGAACUCUGACAAGUUCACCGGAUGUACUACCUGUCCCAGACCUGCUGUUUUCAACUCUCUAAAGACAGCAGGAGCGGUAGAGAUACUCUGAAUGAUCGGCUAUGAAAAGCCAACUGACAUUUACUCCUGAGGUGCUGACCUGUUGCACCCUCUACAACCACUGUGAUUAUUAUUAUUUGACCCCGCUGGUCAUCUAUGAACAUUUGAACAUCUUGGCCAUGUUCUGUUAUAAUCUCCACCUGGCACAGCCAGAAAAGGACUGGCCACCCCUCAUAGCCUGGUUCCUCUCUAGGUUUCUUCCAAGGUUCUGGCCUUUCUAUGGAGUUUUUCCUAGCCACUGUGCUUCUACACCUGCAUUUCUUGCUGUUUGGGGUUUUAGGCUGGGUUUCUGUUCAACACUUUGUGACAUCAGCUGAUGUAAGAAGGGC
This 1190-nucleotide long non-coding RNA is filed under the name Salmo salar (Atlantic salmon). RNAcentral describes it as "lncRNA (ENSSSAG00000109877.1)". The record is from RNAcentral. Lineage: Eukaryota; Metazoa; Chordata; Actinopteri; Salmoniformes; Salmonidae.